This 127-nucleotide ribosomal RNA is filed under the name Yarrowia lipolytica. Lineage: Eukaryota; Fungi; Ascomycota; Dipodascomycetes; Dipodascales. The record is from RNAcentral.
GGUUGCGGCCAUAUCCUGGUGAAAAUACGGCUUCCCGUCCCGAUCAGCCAUAGUCCAAGCACCAGAGAAGCCUAGUUUAGUAUUUUGUAGUGGGAGACGCAUACCGAGAAUCCUGGGUGCUGCAAUC